This 467-nucleotide ribosomal RNA is filed under the name uncultured bacterium. Its description in RNAcentral is "partial 16S ribosomal RNA". It matches the Rfam family "Bacterial small subunit ribosomal RNA", at positions 28 to 507 of the family's 1533-position model. The record is from RNAcentral.
GAUGAACGCUGGCGGCGUGCUUAACACAUGCAAGUCGAACGGAAAGGCCCAAGCUUGCUUGGGUACUCGAGUGGCGAACGGGUGAGUAACACGUGGGUGAUCUGCCCUGCACUUCGGGAUAAGCCUGGGAAACUGGGUCUAAUACCGGAUAGGACCACUUCUUGGAUGUUGUGGUGGAAAGUUUUUUCGGUGUGGGAUGAGCUCGCGGCCUAUCAGCUUGUUGGUGGGGUAAUGGCCUACCAAGGCGUCGACGGGUAGCCGGCCUGAGAGGGUGUACGGCCACAUUGGGACUGAGAUACGGCCCAGACUCCUACGGGAGGCAGCAGUGGGGAAUAUUGCACAAUGGGCGCAAGCCUGAUGCAGCGACGCCGCGUGGGGGAUGACGGCCUUCGGGUUGUAAACUCCUCUCGCUAGGGACGAAGCGUUUUGUGACGGUACCUGGAGAAGAAGCACCGGCUAACUACGUG